RNAcentral lists this ribosomal RNA (476 nucleotides) under uncultured organism. RNAcentral's name for it is "SSU rRNA". It matches the Rfam family "Eukaryotic small subunit ribosomal RNA", at positions 1255 to 1751 of the family's 1831-position model. The record is from RNAcentral.
CUCUUUCUUGAUUUUUCGGGUGGUGGUGCAUGGCCGUUCUUAGUUCGUGGGGUGACUUGUCUGCUUAAUUGCGAUAACGAGCGAGACCUUCCUCUGCUAAAUAGCCAGGCUAGUUUUGGCUGGUCGCCGGCUUCUUAGAGAGACUAUCGACUCAAGUUGAUGGAAGUUGGAAGCAAUAACAGGUCUGUGAUGCCCUUAAAUGUUCUGGGCCGCACGCGCGCUACACUGACAGAGCCAACGAGUUCUUCACCUUGGCCGAAAGGUCUGGGUAAUCUUGUUAAACUCUGUCGUGCUGGGGAUGGAGCAUUGCAAUUAUUGCUCUUCAACGAGGAAUGCCUAGUAAGCGCGUGUCAUCAGCAUGCGUUGAUUACGUCCCUGACCUUUGUACACACCGCCCGUCGCUACUACCGAUUGAAUGGCUCAGUGAGGCGUUCGGACUGGCUCGUGGAGGUUGGCAACGACCACCCCAAGCCGGA